GUAACAGCCUCACAUGUCUGUCUUUGCACGUUCGUAGGAGCAAAACUGGAUGGUAAAUUGCAAUAAGUGGAAUUUCAGGCUCAAAGGAUUGUUUAAAGAUCUGUUUGCUGGAGGGGAUUCAAGAUGGCGUGGUAAGAACAACUCAGGAUCGCAGCUCUCAGUGAACGCUCAGAGGAUGGCAGAAUAAACCAUGGAGCAGCUGUGACUCUCAUGACCAGGAGCUGCUAAAAGAGAUUUUUGAAAAGCUUUCAGAUGUCAGUCCUGAGGUUGCUGCCUGUGAAUAAGGUACCUUAGAUAAGCCGUCUACUGUGUGUGAGGGAGAAAACCCUUCAUUUGAUGAAAUCUUACAGAGGAUGUAGGUAUAAUACAGUGGAUGUAGCAGGGUUUAAAUCUCACAGGUGUUAAGUUAGGAGCUGCAUGACUCUGGGCAAGUUACUUAAACUCUCUGUGCUUUAUUUUCUUGUCUGUAUGAUAGAAUUAUUAUUAGGUUGGUGUAAAAGUGACUGCAAUUUUUAACCUUAAAAGUAAUACUGCAUCACCUCAUUCAGUUGUUACAAGAACAAAAUGAGAGAACACAUGUAAAAUGUUUCAGACAGCAUCUGGCAUAUUGUUAGUCCUUGAUAAGUGUUAGUUAUAAUUUGAAACCCAUGCAAAAGAAAAGCCCUGUGUUUGGAGCCCUGCCUGCUCUCUGCCAACUAAUUGUGUCCCUGAAAUAUUUUCAUGGA
Molecule: long non-coding RNA, 725 nt
Filed under: Callithrix jacchus (white-tufted-ear marmoset)
Lineage: Eukaryota; Metazoa; Chordata; Mammalia; Primates; Cebidae
Description: lncRNA (ENSCJAG00000077559.1)
Source: RNAcentral